Molecule: ribosomal RNA, 420 nt
Filed under: uncultured Microcoleus sp.
Lineage: Bacteria; Bacillati; Cyanobacteriota; Cyanophyceae; Oscillatoriales; Microcoleaceae
Description: bacterial SSU rRNA
Rfam family: Bacterial small subunit ribosomal RNA
Source: RNAcentral
GGGGAAUUUUCCGCAAUGGGCGAAAGCCUGACGGAGCAAGACCGCGUGAGGGAGGAAGGCUCUUGGGUUGUAAACCUCUUUUGUCAGGGAAGAACACAAUGACGGUACCUGAAGAAUCAGCAUCGGCUAACUCCGUGCCAGCAGCCGCGGUAAUACGGGGGAUGCAAGCGUUAUCCGGAAUUAUUGGGCGUAAAGCGUCCGCAGGUGGCUAAUCAAGUCUGCUGUCAAAGGUUGGGGCUUAACCCCAAAAAGGCAGUGGAAACUGAGAAGCUAGAGUGCAGUAGGGGUAGAGGGAAUUCCCGGUGUAGCGGUGAAAUGCGUAGAGAUCGGGAAGAACAUCGGUGGCGAAAGCGCUCUACUGGACUGCAACUGACACUCAGGGACGAAAGCUAGGGGAGCGAAAGGGAUUAGAUACCCCUG